Molecule: ribosomal RNA, 467 nt
Filed under: uncultured bacterium
Lineage: Bacteria
Description: partial 16S ribosomal RNA
Rfam family: Bacterial small subunit ribosomal RNA
Source: RNAcentral
GACGAACGCUGGCGGCGUGCUUAACACAUGCAAGUCGAACGGAAAGGCCCUGCUUUUGUGGGGUGCUCGAGUGGCGAACGGGUGAGUAACACGUGAGUAACCUGCCCUUGACUUUGGGAUAACUUCAGGAAACUGGGGCUAAUACCGGAUAGGAGCUCCUGCUGCAUGGUGGGGGUUGGAAAGUUUCGGCGGUUGGGGAUGGACUCGCGGCUUAUCAGCUUGUUGGUGGGGUAGUGGCUUACCAAGGCCUUGACGGGUAGCCGGCCUGAGAGGGUGACCGGCCACAUUGGGACGGAGAUACGGCCCAGACUCCUACGGGAGGCAGGAGUGGGGAAUAGUGCACAAUGGGCGGAAGCCGGAUGCAGCAACGCCGCGUGCGGGAUGACGGCUUUCGGGUUGUAAACCGCUUUCGCCUGUGACGAAGCGUGAGGGACGGGAAUGGGUAAAGAAGCACCGGCGAACUACGG